This 1489-nucleotide ribosomal RNA is filed under the name Lactiplantibacillus plantarum. RNAcentral describes it as "bacterial SSU rRNA". It matches the Rfam family "Bacterial small subunit ribosomal RNA". Lineage: Bacteria; Bacillati; Bacillota; Bacilli; Lactobacillales; Lactobacillaceae. The record is from RNAcentral.
GACGAACGCUGGCGGCGUGCCUAAUACAUGCAAGUCGAACGAACUCUGGUAUUGAUUGGUGCUUGCAUCAUGAUUUACAUUUGAGUGAGUGGCGAACUGGUGAGUAACACGUGGGAAACCUGCCCAGAAGCGGGGGAUAACACCUGGAAACAGAUGCUAAUACCGCAUAACAACUUGGACCGCAUGGUCCGAGUUUGAAAGAUGGCUUCGGCUAUCACUUUUGGAUGGUCCCGCGGCGUAUUAGCUAGAUGGUGGGGUAACGGCUCACCAUGGCAAUGAUACGUAGCCGACCUGAGAGGGUAAUCGGCCACAUUGGGACUGAGACACGGCCCAAACUCCUACGGGAGGCAGCAGUAGGGAAUCUUCCACAAUGGACGAAAGUCUGAUGGAGCAACGCCGCGUGAGUGAAGAAGGGUUUCGGCUCGUAAAACUCUGUUGUUAAAGAAGAACAUAUCUGAGAGUAACUGUUCAGGUAUUGACGGUAUUUAACCAGAAAGCCACGGCUAACUACGUGCCAGCAGCCGCGGUAAUACGUAGGUGGCAAGCGUUGUCCGGAUUUAUUGGGCGUAAAGCGAGCGCAGGCGGUUUCUUAAGUCUGAUGUGAAAGCCUUCGGCUCAACCGAAGAAGUGCAUCGGAAACUGGGAAACUUGAGUGCAGAAGAGGACAGUGGAACUCCAUGUGUAGCGGUGAAAUGCGUAGAUAUAUGGAAGAACACCAGUGGCGAAGGCGGCUGUCUGGUCUGUAACUGACGCUGAGGCUCGAAAGUAUGGGUAGCAAACAGGAUUAGAUACCCUGGUAGUCCAUACCGUAAACGAUGAAUGCUAAGUGUUGGAGGGUUUCCGCCCUUCAGUGCUGCAGCUAACGCAUUAAGCAUUCCGCCUGGGGAGUACGGCCGCAAGGCUGAAACUCAAAGGAAUUGACGGGGGCCCCCACAAGCGGUGGAGCAUGUGGUUUAAUUCGAAGCUACGCGAAGAACCUUACCAGGUCUUGACAUACUAUGCAAAUCUAAGAGAUUAGACGUUCCCUUCGGGGACAUGGAUACAGGUGGUGCAUGGUUGUCGUCAGCUCGUGUCGUGAGAUGUUGGGUUAAGUCCCGCAACGAGCGCAACCCUUAUUAUCAGUUGCCAGCAUUAAGUUGGGCACUCUGGUGAGACUGCCGGUGACAAACCGGAGGAAGGUGGGGAUGACGUCAAAUCAUCAUGCCCCUUAUGACCUGGGCUACACACGUGCUACAAUGGAUGGUACAACGAGUUGCGAACUCGCGGGAGCAAGCUAAUCUCUUAAAGCCAUUCUCAGUUCGGAUUGUAGGCUGCAACUCGCCUACAUGAAGUCGGAAUCGCUAGUAAUCGCGGAUCAGCAUGCCGCGGUGAAUACGUUCCCGGGCCUUGUACACACCGCCCGUCACACCAUGAGAGUUUGUAACACCCAAAGUCGGUGGGGUAACCUUUUAGGAACCAGCCGCCUAAGGUGGGACAGAUGAUUAGGGUG